This is a non-coding RNA of Scleropages formosus (Asian bonytongue), 312 nucleotides long. NCBI's taxonomy places the organism in Eukaryota, Metazoa, Chordata, Actinopteri, Osteoglossiformes, Osteoglossidae. The record is from the annotation of a RefSeq genome assembly.
AUGCACUUCCUGUACCAGCUAAGGAAGCUCAACCUGCCACAGGAGCUGCUGAUCCAGUUCUACACAGCAGUCAUUGUGCCUGUACUCAGCUCCUCCAUCACAGUCUGCUACUUGCACUGGAUCCGUCAGCCACCAGAGAGAGGACUGCAGUGGAUUGGGCGCAUCGGCUCUGGUACUGACGCUACCUUCUCAGAGUCCCUCAAGGGCCAGUUCUCCAUCACCAAAGACAGUUCCACAAACGCACUGUACCUGGAGGUGAAGAGCCUGAAGCCUGAAGACACUGCAGUGUAUUACUGUGCUAAAGACCCAUAG